RNAcentral lists this ribosomal RNA (253 nucleotides) under uncultured bacterium. RNAcentral's name for it is "partial 16S ribosomal RNA". It matches the Rfam family "Bacterial small subunit ribosomal RNA", at positions 524 to 776 of the family's 1533-position model. The record is from RNAcentral.
UACGGGGGGGGCAAGCGUUGUUCGGAAUUACUGGGCGUAGAGGGCUCGUAGGCGGCCAACUAAGUCAGACGUGAAAUCCCCAGGCUCAACCUGGGAACUGCGUCUGAUACUGGAUGGCUUGAAUCCGGGAGAGGGAUGCAGAAUUCCAGGUGUAGCGGUGAAAUGCGUAGAUAUCAAGAGGAACACCUGAGGUGAAGACGGGUUGCUGGGCUGAUACUGACGCUGAGGCGCGAAAGCUAGGGUAGCAAACGGG